RNAcentral lists this ribosomal RNA (1351 nucleotides) under Escherichia coli. RNAcentral describes it as "partial 23S ribosomal RNA". It matches the Rfam family "Bacterial large subunit ribosomal RNA", at positions 418 to 1769 of the family's 2925-position model. The record is from RNAcentral. Lineage: Bacteria; Pseudomonadati; Pseudomonadota; Gammaproteobacteria; Enterobacterales; Enterobacteriaceae.
CGGGACACGUGGUAUCCUGUCUGAAUAUGGGGGGACCAUCCUCCAAGGCUAAAUACUCCUGACUGACCGAUAGUGAACCAGUACCGUGAGGGAAAGGCGAAAAGAACCCCGGCGAGGGGAGUGAAAAAGAACCUGAAACCGUGUACGUACAAGCAGUGGGAGCCUCUUAAUGGGGUGACUGCGUACCUUUUGUAUAAUGGGUCAGCGACUUAUAUUCUGUAGCAAGGUUAACCGAAUAGGGGAGCCGAAGGGAAACCGAGUCUUAACUGGGCGUUAAGUUGCAGGGUAUAGACCCGAAACCCGGUGAUCUAGCCAUGGGCAGGUUGAAGGUUGGGUAACACUAACUGGAGGACCGAACCGACUAAUGUUGAAAAAUUAGCGGAUGACUUGUGGCUGGGGGUGAAAGGCCAAUCAAACCGGGAGAUAGCUGGUUCUCCCCGAAAGCUAUUUAGGUAGCGCCUCGUGAAUUCAUCUCCGGGGGUAGAGCACUGUUUCGGCAAGGGGGUCAUCCCGACUUACCAACCCGAUGCAAACUGCGAAUACCGGAGAAUGUUAUCACGGGAGACACACGGCGGGUGCUAACGUCCGUCGUGAAGAGGGAAACAACCCAGACCGCCAGCUAAGGUCCCAAAGUCAUGGUUAAGUGGGAAACGAUGUGGGAAGGCCCAGACAGCCAGGAUGUUGGCUUAGAAGCAGCCAUCAUUUAAAGAAAGCGUAAUAGCUCACUGGUCGAGUCGGCCUGCGCGGAAGAUGUAACGGGGCUAAACCAUGCACCGAAGCUGCGGCAGCGACGUUUAUGCGUUGUUGGGUAGGGGAGCGUUCUGUAAGCCUGUGAAGGUGUACUGUGAGGUAUGCUGGAGGUAUCAGAAGUGCGAAUGCUGACAUAAGUAACGAUAAAGCGGGUGAAAAGCCCGCUCGCCGGAAGACCAAGGGUUCCUGUCCAACGUUAAUCGGGGCAGGGUGAGUCGACCCCUAAGGCGAGGCCGAAAGGCGUAGUCGAUGGGAAACAGGUUAAUAUUCCUGUACUUGGUGUUACUGCGAAGGGGGGACGGAGAAGGCUAUGUUGGCCGGGCGACGGUUGUCCCGGUUUAAGCGUGUAGGCUGAUUUUCCAGGCAAAUCCGGAAAAUCAAGGCUGAGGCGUGAUGACGAGGCACUACGGUGCUGAAGCAACAAAUGCCCUGCUUCCAGGAAAAGCCUCUAAGCAUCAGGUAACAUCAAAUCGUACCCCAAACCGACACAGGUGGUCAGGUAGAGAAUACCAAGGCGCUUGAGAGAACUCGGGUGAAGGAACUAGGCAAAAUGGUGCCGUAACUUCGGGAGAAGGCACGCUGAUAUGUAGGUGAAGUCCCU